This 76-nucleotide transfer RNA is filed under the name Gammaproteobacteria bacterium. RNAcentral describes it as "tRNA-Ala". It matches the Rfam family "tRNA". Rfam says of the family: Transfer RNA (tRNA) molecules are approximately 80 nucleotides in length. Lineage: Bacteria; Pseudomonadati; Pseudomonadota; Gammaproteobacteria. The record is from RNAcentral.
GGGGCCGUAGCUCAGUUGGGAGAGCGCUGCGUUCGCAAUGCAGAGGUCGAGAGUUCGAAUCUCUUCGGCUCCACCA